This 73-nucleotide transfer RNA is filed under the name Thermoprotei archaeon. RNAcentral's name for it is "tRNA-Met". It matches the Rfam family "tRNA", at positions 2 to 63 of the family's 71-position model. From Rfam's summary of the family: Transfer RNA (tRNA) molecules are approximately 80 nucleotides in length. The record is from RNAcentral. Lineage: Archaea; Thermoproteati; Thermoproteota; Thermoprotei.
GCGGGGUAGGGCAGCCUGGUAGCCCGCGGGGCUCAUAACCCCGAGGUCGGUGGUUCAAAACGGGGCGCCCGCC